This 62-nucleotide unclassified non-coding RNA is filed under the name Pedobacter soli. Its description in RNAcentral is "Flavo-1 RNA". The record is from RNAcentral. Lineage: Bacteria; Pseudomonadati; Bacteroidota; Sphingobacteriia; Sphingobacteriales; Sphingobacteriaceae.
AAAUAAACCUGAUGGGAGUGAGCAUGGAGCGUAGCGAAAUAAAACGGACAGCAGGACUAUCG